UCAUGUCAUAUUAAGAUGUCUGAUGGAACCCGUGAACAAGUAUUGGGUGUCUGAAAUGUGACGUCAUAUGACAUGAUUUUUCCGUCUAGCUAGAACUAGUUCACGCUGGUAAACAACUAGCAAGAAAAUACUGUCGCCAACGCAUUUGUCAUGACGAAAGAGGUUCCAGAUUUCUUCGUCCUCACAAGGACUGACUGUCAUGGACACUUGGGUACAUUACAUAUAUGAAUCUAUUUUGUAAAUGCAUUGAUGAAAAAGAAUGUUCAGUCGAUCAUAUCCAAGAUAGCAUAUUAACUGAAAUAUGCUAAUAUCACUAAGAGAAAGUCAACAAUUAACUUUAAAAAAUGCACCUAAGGGUAUUGCCAGGCACACUUGGCAUCCCUGCUGGGUUUGCCUUGGUACAGUGUAUAAAAACCCGGGGCAUUCGCCGAAGUCAGCAUCUUUCCUAACCAGCCGAUCCACCUGCACUCCGUCCACCAUGAAAGUGUUGUUCUUCCUCGUUGCUGUGCUGGCAGCCCUGGUGGCCCUGGCUGAGGUCGCCUCUGGGAUGCCCAAUCCUGUAGCCGCUCCUGAACCUGAUCGCUAUUACAUUCACCCGACGCUGUUUAAAAACAAACGGCAUCGAACUUAGUACUGAACGGUCGGUCGCCCUCUUCCUCCUGGACACCCACGUCAGACAUCUAACAGUGUUGGUAAUUGCGUCACCAAGUCGAAGAAGCUGCACACGAUUACUCAUGUUUGAUUCUUUAAAUUAGAAGUGAUGAGUUUUGCGCUCCAAGCUUCUAUCAUGAGUUGCAUCCAUUGUUCUUUUUUUUUUUUUUGUAGUGACGAUAUCAACAACCUGGCAGUUGUUUAGUUUUAUUUACUCUCUUAUUUAUGUAACUUCUCUUUAGCCCUUCUUCCUAGUCAUGUAUAUGUUAUAAUUGUGCAAACAAGAAUUCAAUAAAUGAAUUUGUAUUAUAUUACAA
This is a long non-coding RNA of Scylla paramamosain (green mud crab), 968 nucleotides long. RefSeq lists it as uncharacterized. The transcript is spliced from 2 exons. The record is from RefSeq and is a predicted model, not a curated record. NCBI's taxonomy places the organism in Eukaryota, Metazoa, Arthropoda, Malacostraca, Decapoda, Portunidae.